CCCUUAGAUGUUCUGGGCCGCACGCGCGCUACAAUGAUGAAUUCAACGAGUUUAUAACCUUGGUUGAAAAGCCUGGGUAAUCUUUUGAACUUUCGUCGUGAUGGGGCUAGACCCUUGCAAUUAUUGGCCUCCAACGAGGAAUUCCUAGUAAACGCAAGUCAUCAGCUUGCAUUGAUUACGUCCCUGCCCUUUGUACACACCGCCCGUCGCACCUACCGAUUGAAUGGUCCGGUGAAAUCUUCGGAUUGAGACUUUGUUUUCUUCACGGAAAACGCUGUUUUAAAAAGUUGAUUAAACCUUACCAUUUAGAGGAAGGUGAAGUCGUAACA
This 329-nucleotide ribosomal RNA is filed under the name uncultured eukaryote. Its description in RNAcentral is "partial 18S ribosomal RNA". It matches the Rfam family "Eukaryotic small subunit ribosomal RNA", at positions 1470 to 1796 of the family's 1831-position model. The record is from RNAcentral.